This 253-nucleotide ribosomal RNA is filed under the name uncultured bacterium. RNAcentral describes it as "partial 16S ribosomal RNA". It matches the Rfam family "Bacterial small subunit ribosomal RNA", at positions 524 to 776 of the family's 1533-position model. The record is from RNAcentral.
UACGUAGGGCGCGAGCGUUGUCCGGAAUUAUUGGGCGUAAAGAGCUCGUAGGUGGCUUGUUGCGUCUGCUGUGAAAGCCCGGGGCUUAACUCCGGAGGGUCGGUGGAUACUGCCAGUCUUGAAGGUGCUAGGGAGAGAUGGAAUUACCGGUGUAGCGGUGAAAUGCGUAGAUAUCGGUAGGAACACCAGUGGCGAAGGCGGUCUCUUGGGGCAUUCUUGACGCUGAGGCGCGAAAGCUGGGGGAGCGAACGGG